Molecule: transfer RNA, 87 nt
Filed under: Iodidimonas nitroreducens
Lineage: Bacteria; Pseudomonadati; Pseudomonadota; Alphaproteobacteria; Iodidimonadales; Iodidimonadaceae
Also listed under: 1 other name
Description: Kordiimonadales bacterium JCM 17846 tRNA-Leu
Rfam family: tRNA
About the family: Transfer RNA (tRNA) molecules are approximately 80 nucleotides in length. Their secondary structure includes four short double-helical elements and three loops (D, anti-codon, and T loops).
Source: RNAcentral
GCGGGCGUGGCGGAACUGGUAGACGCGCCAGAUUUAGGUUCUGGUGUCCGAGAGGACGUGGGGGUUCAAGUCCCUUCGCCCGCACCA